UGAAUACGAAACGCUACGGCGUUGAAGCAGUCUAUGUCAUACUUCCAAGAAAAGCUUGCACUGUCAUAAACAAAUAAUGCCUGUACCAUAACCGACACAGGUGGGUAGGUAGAGUAUACUAAGGGGCGCGAGAUAACUCUCUCUAAGGAACUCGGCAAAAUGACUCCGUAACUUCGGGAGAAGGAGUGCCUUAUUUAUAAGGUUGCAAUAACAAGAUCCAAGCAACUGUUUAUCAAAAACACAGGUCUCCGCUAAGUCGUAAGACGAUGUAUGGGGGCUGACGCCUGCCCAGUGCCAGAAGGUUAAAGAAGUUGGUUAGCAUUAGCGAAGCUGAUGACUGAAGCCCUGGUGAACGGCGGCCGUAACAAUAACGGUCCUAAGGUAGCGAAAUUCCUUGUCGGGUAAGUUCCGACCCGCACGAAAGGCGUAAUGAUUUGGAUACUGUCUCGGAGAGGGGCUCGGUGAAAUAGACUUGUCUGUGAAGAUGCGGACUACCUGCACCUGGACAGAAAGACCCUAUGAAGCUUUACUGUAACUUGAAAUUGAAAUUGGACUUUAUUUGCGCAGUAUAGGUGGGAGGCGUUGAGAAUAUUCUUGCGGGAAUAUUGGAGCCACCAGUGAGAUACCACUCUUGUAAUGUUAGAUUUCUAACUUUGCAUCAUUAUCUGGUCAAAGAACAGUUUCAGGCGGGCAGUUUGACUGGGGCGGUCGCCUCCCAAAUGGUAACGGAGGCGUACAAAGGUUUCCUCUGAACGGGUAGAAAUCGUAUCUAGAGUGUAAAGGCAUAAGGAAGCUUGACUGUGAGACCUACAAGUCGAGCAGGGACGAAAGUCGGUCUUAGUGAUCUGACGGUGCUGAGUGGAAAGGCCGUCACUCAACGGAUAAAAGUUACUCUAAGGAUAACAGGCUGAUCUCCCCCAAGAGUUCACAUCGACGGGGAGGUUUGGCACCUCGAUGUCGGCUCAUCGCAUCCUGGGGCGGUAGUACGUCCCAAGGGUUGGGCUGUUCGCCCAUGAAAGCGGUACGCGAGCUGGGUUCAGAACGUCGUGAGACAGUUCGGUCCAUAUCCGGUGUAGGCGUUAGAAUAUUGAGAGGAGCCUUCUUUAGUACGAGAGGACCGAGAAGGACAUACCUCUGGUGUACCAGUUAUCGUGCCAACGGUAAACGCUGGGUAGCUAUGUAUGGAGUGGAUAACCGCUAAAAGCAUCUAAGUGGGAAGCCCACCUCAAGAUAAUUACUCUCACAGGGUUAACCUGGUAAGGUCACGGGAAGACCACCCGUUGAUAGGCACUCGGUGGAAGUCCAGCAAUGGAUGAAGCC
This 1320-nucleotide ribosomal RNA is filed under the name metagenome. RNAcentral's name for it is "bacterial LSU rRNA". It matches the Rfam family "Bacterial large subunit ribosomal RNA", at positions 1564 to 2892 of the family's 2925-position model. The record is from RNAcentral.